GUGCCAGCCGCCGCGGUAAUACGAAGGGUGCAAGCGUUACUCGGAAUUACUGGGCGUAAAGCGUGCGUAGGUGGUUGUUUAAGUCUGUCGUGAAAGCCCUGGGCUCAACCUGGGAAUUGCGAUGGAAACUGGGCGACUAGAGUGUGGCAGAGGAUAGUGGAAUUCCUGGUGUAGCAGUGAAAUGCGUAGAGAUCAGGAGGAACAUCCGUGGCGAAGGCGACUGUCUGGGCCAACACUGACACUGAGGCACGAAAGCGUGGGGAGCAAACAGGAUUAGAUACCCUGGUAGUCC
Molecule: ribosomal RNA, 292 nt
Filed under: uncultured bacterium
Lineage: Bacteria
Description: partial 16S ribosomal RNA
Rfam family: Bacterial small subunit ribosomal RNA
Source: RNAcentral